This 497-nucleotide ribosomal RNA is filed under the name uncultured bacterium. RNAcentral's name for it is "partial 16S ribosomal RNA". It matches the Rfam family "Bacterial small subunit ribosomal RNA", at positions 28 to 507 of the family's 1533-position model. The record is from RNAcentral.
GAUGAACGCUGGCGGCGUGCCUAAUACAUGCAAGUCGAGCGAACAGACGAGGAGCUUGCUCCUCUGACGUUAGCGGCGGACGGGUGAGUAACGCGUGGAUAACCUACCUAUAAGACUGGGAUAACUUCGGGAAACCGGAGCUAAUACCGGAUAAUAUAUUGAACCGCAUGGUUCAAUAGUGAAAGACGGUUUUGCUGUCACUUAUAGAUGGAUCUGCGCCGCAUUAGCUAGUUGGUAAGGUAACGGCUUACCAAGGCAACGAUGCGUAGCCGACCUGAGAGGGUGAUCGGCCACACUGGAACUGAGACACGGUCCAGACUCCUACGGGAGGCAGCAGUAGGGAAUCUUCCGCAAUGGGCGAAAGCCUGACGGAGCAACGCCGCGUGAGUGAUGAAGGUCUUCGGAUCGUAAAACUCUGUUAUUAGGGAAGAACAAAUGUGUAAGUAACUAUGCACGUCUUGACGGUACCUAAUCAGAAAGCCACGGCUAACUACGUG